AUGAGGGAUAUUGCACAAUGGGCGAAAGCCUGAUGCAGCGACGCCGCGUGGGUGACGAAGUCCUUCGGGAUGUAAAGCCCUUUUCUCGGGGAAGAGAACGGACGGUACCCGAGGAAUAAGCCCCGGCUAACUACGUGCCAGCAGCCGCGGUAAUACGUAGGGGGCAAGCGUUGUCCGGAAUUACUGGGCGUAAAGCGCGUGUAGGCGGGAAAGCAAGUCGGACGUGAAAGGCUUCGGCUCAACCGGAGACGGCCGUUCGAAACUGUUUUUCUUGAGCGUCGAAGAGGAGAGUGGAAUUCCCGGUGUAGCGGUGAAAUGCGUAGAGAUCGGGAGGAACACCCGUGGCGAAGGCGGCUCUCUGGUCGGCGACUGACGCUGAGACGCGAAAGCGUGGGGAGCGAACGG
RNAcentral lists this ribosomal RNA (405 nucleotides) under uncultured bacterium. RNAcentral's name for it is "bacterial SSU rRNA". It matches the Rfam family "Bacterial small subunit ribosomal RNA", at positions 354 to 775 of the family's 1533-position model. The record is from RNAcentral.